GAUGAACGCUGGCGGCGUGCCUAACACAUGCAAGUCGAGCGAGAUAAAUGUGAGUGGAGACUUCGGUCAAAGCAAUCAUUUUGAAAGCGGCGGACGGGUGAGUAACGCGUGAGCAAUCUGCCCCAUACAAAGGGAUACCCACUGGAAACGGUGAUUAAUACCUUAUAAGACCACGAAGUCGCCUGGCGUAGUGGCCAAAGAUUUAUCGGUAUGGGAUGAGCUCGCGUCUGAUUAGCUAGUUGGUGAGGUAAUGGCUCACCAAGGCGACGAUCAGUAGCCGACCUGAGAGGGUGGACGGCCACACUGGAACUGAGACACGGUCCAGACUCCUACGGGAGGCAGCAGUGGGGAAUAUUGCACAAUGGGCGCAAGCCUGAUGCAGCAACGCCGCGUGAAUGAUGAAGGCCUUCGGGUCGUAAAGUUCUGUCCUAAGGGAAGAAUACAGUGACGGUACCUUAGGAGGAAGCCCCGGCUAACUACGUGCCAGCCGCCGCGGUAA
This 499-nucleotide ribosomal RNA is filed under the name uncultured bacterium. RNAcentral describes it as "partial 16S ribosomal RNA". It matches the Rfam family "Bacterial small subunit ribosomal RNA", at positions 28 to 523 of the family's 1533-position model. The record is from RNAcentral.